ACGGAGGAUCCAAGCGUUAUCCGGAUUUAUUGGGUUUAAAGGGUGCGUAGGCGGAACGAUAAGUCAGAGGUGAAAGCCCGCAGCUUAACUGCGGAACUGCCUUUGAUACUGUCGAUCUUGAGUACAUUUGAUGUGGGCGGAAUGUGUCAUGUAGCGGUGAAAUGCUUAGAUAUGACACAGAACACCGAUUGCGAAGGCAGCUCACAAAACUGUUACUGACGCUGAGGCACGAAAGCGUGGGGAGCGAACAGG
This 252-nucleotide ribosomal RNA is filed under the name uncultured bacterium. Its description in RNAcentral is "partial 16S ribosomal RNA". It matches the Rfam family "Bacterial small subunit ribosomal RNA", at positions 525 to 776 of the family's 1533-position model. The record is from RNAcentral.